This 466-nucleotide ribosomal RNA is filed under the name uncultured bacterium. Its description in RNAcentral is "partial 16S ribosomal RNA". It matches the Rfam family "Bacterial small subunit ribosomal RNA", at positions 28 to 507 of the family's 1533-position model. The record is from RNAcentral.
GACGAACGCUGGCGGCGUGCUUAACACAUGCAAGUCGAACGGAAAGGCCCUGCUUGCAGGGUACUCGAGUGGCGAACGGGUGAGUAACACGUGGGUGAUCUGCCCUGCACUUCGGGAUAAGCUUGGGAAACUGGGUCUAAUACCGGAUAGGAGCCAUCUUUAGUGUGGUGGUUGGAAAGUUUUUUCGGUGUAGGAUGAGCUCGCGGCCUAUCAGCUUGUUGGUGGGGUAAUGGCCUACCAAGGCGGCGACGGGUAGCCGGCCUGAGAGGGUGUACGGCCACAUUGGGACUGAGAUACGGCCCAGACUCCUACGGGGGGCAGCAAUGGGGAAUAUUGCACAAUGGGCGCAAGCCUGAUGCAGCGACGCCGCGUGGGGGAUGAAGGCCUUCGGGUUGUAAACUCCUUUCGCUAGGGACGAAGCUUUGUUGUGACGGUACCUAGAUAAGAAGCACCGGCUAACUACGUG